This 171-nucleotide unclassified non-coding RNA is filed under the name soil metagenome. RNAcentral's name for it is "partial internal transcribed spacer 1". The record is from RNAcentral.
CUGAGUUGCAAAAACUCCCAACCAUUGUGAACCUACCUAUCGUUUGCUUCGGCGGGCCGAGGGCCCUCAGGCGGCCUCGCGCCCACCCCCCUCGGGGGGAGGGCAGCCCGCCGGAGGCGUCCAAACUAUAGCAUACAUUGGCCUCUCUGAAGUAGCUUAUAAAAUAAGUCA